AGAGUUUGAUCCUGGCUCAGGAUGAACGCUAGCGACAGGCUUAACACAUGCAAGUCGAGGGGCAGCAUAAAAGUAGCAAUACUUUGGUGGCGACCGGCGCACGGGUGAGUGACGCGUAUGCAACCUACCUAUCAGAGGGGGAUAACCCGGCGAAAGUCGGACUAAUACCGCAUAAAACAGGGGCACCGCAUGGUGAUAUUUGUUAAAAAUUUAUUGCUGAUAGAUGGGCAUGCGUUCCAUUAGGUAGUUGGAGAGGUAACGGCUCACCAAGCCUACGAUGGAUAGGGGAACUGAGAGGUUGGUCCCCCACACUGGUACUGAGACACGGACCAGACUCCUACGGGAGGCAGCAGUGAGGAAUAUUGGCCAAUGGGCGAGAGCCUGAACCAGCCAAGUCGCGUGAAGGAAGAAGGAUCUAUGGUUCGUAAACUUCUUUUGCAGGGGAAUAAAGUGCAGGACGUGUCCUGUUUUGUAUGUACCCUGAGAAUAAGGAUCGGCUAACUCCGUGCCAGCAGCCGCGGUAAUACGGAGGAUCCGAGCGUUAUCCGGAUUUAUUGGGUUUAAAGGGUGCGUAGGUGGUUUAAUAAGUCAGCGGUGAAAGUUUGCAGCUUAACUGUAAAAAUGCCGUUGAAACUGUUAGACUUGAGUGUAAAUGAGGUAGGCGGAAUGCGUGGUGUAGCGGUGAAAUGCUUAGAUAUCACGCAGAACUCCGAUUGCGAAGGCAGCUUACCAAGCUACAACUGACACUGAAGCACGAAAGCGUGGGGAUCAAACAGGAUUAGAUACCCUGGUAGUC
This 796-nucleotide ribosomal RNA is filed under the name uncultured bacterium. RNAcentral's name for it is "bacterial SSU rRNA". It matches the Rfam family "Bacterial small subunit ribosomal RNA", at positions 8 to 795 of the family's 1533-position model. The record is from RNAcentral.